UAGGGAAUUUUCCGCAAUGGGGGGAACCCUGACGGAGCAACGCCGCGUGAGUGAAGACGGCCUUCGGGUUGUAAAGCUCUGUAGACGGAGAAGAAAGAAAUGACGGUAUCCGUAAAGUAAGCCCCGGCUAACUACGUGCCAGCAGCCGCGGUAAUACGUAGGGGGCAAGCGUUGUCCGGAAUAAUUGGGCGUAAAGGGCGCGUAGGCGGUUAAAUAAGUCAGUUGUGAAAGUCUGGAGCUCAACUCCAGGAGUGCAGCUGAAACUGUAUAACUUGAGAGCAGGAGAGGGGAGUGGAAUUCCCGGUGUAGCGGUGGAAUGCGUAGAUAUCGGGAGGAACACCAGUGGCGAAGGCGACUCCCUGGCCUGGGACUGACGCUGAGGCGCGAAAGCGUGGGUAGCAAACAGGAUUAGAUACCCCUGUAGUCC
This 427-nucleotide ribosomal RNA is filed under the name uncultured bacterium. Its description in RNAcentral is "bacterial SSU rRNA". It matches the Rfam family "Bacterial small subunit ribosomal RNA", at positions 355 to 796 of the family's 1533-position model. The record is from RNAcentral.